Molecule: long non-coding RNA, 332 nt
Organism: Exaiptasia diaphana
Lineage: Eukaryota; Metazoa; Cnidaria; Anthozoa; Actiniaria; Aiptasiidae
Exons: 3
Source: RefSeq, a predicted model, not a curated record
UGGAGUAUUUCCUCGCCGGCAUUUAAGGCAGACCACAUCCAUGCCAAUGAUUGAACGCUUGGGUCGACAGGGGUAGUGAAACACCGGUCAUUUCCACAUGUACGCGCUCAAAGCUUAUAAUCUUAGAUGCUGGAGCAGAAGAUUAAAAAGGAAUCCCGCUAAAGCAAAUUUUCUGUUAGGAUGAAAUGAUCACCUACUAGACAAAAUUGAUUUCAUGGAAUGAUUUUCUGGAUUGCAUKAUGCUUCUGCCCUGAUGCUUAGCUUCUGUUGCCAUUCAAGUCAAGAGUCAUCAUUUAUAAUAUAUCAAUUCUGAAACAAGGGACUUACAAGUA